RNAcentral lists this ribosomal RNA (258 nucleotides) under uncultured bacterium. RNAcentral's name for it is "partial 16S ribosomal RNA". It matches the Rfam family "Bacterial small subunit ribosomal RNA", at positions 96 to 354 of the family's 1533-position model. The record is from RNAcentral.
CGGCGGACGGGUGAGUAACGCGUGGGGAACCUGCCCUAUACAGGGGGAUAACAGUUAGAAAUGACUGCUAAUACCGCAUAAGCGCACGGAGCCGCAUGGCGCUGAGUGAAAAACGAUAGUGGUAUAGGAGGGACCCGCGUCUGAUUAGGUAGUUGGUGGGGUAACGGCCAACCAAGCCGACGAUCAGUAGCCGACCUGAGAGGGUGACCGGCCACAUUGGGACUGAGACACGGCCCAAACUCCUACGGAAGGCAGCAG